GUGGGGAAUUUUGGACAAUGGGCGCAAGCCUGAUCCAGCCAUUCCGCGUGCAGGAUGAAGGCCUUCGGGUUGUAAACUGCUUUUGUACGGAACGAAAAGCCUCUGGUUAAUACCCGGGGGUCAUGACGGUACCGUAAGAAUAAGCACCGGCUAACUACGUGCCAGCAGCCGCGGUAAUACGUAGGGUGCGAGCGUUAAUCGGAAUUACUGGGCGUAAAGCGUGCGCAGGCGGUUAUAUAAGACAGAUGUGAAAUCCCCGGGCUCAACCUGGGAACUGCAUUUGUGACUGUAUAGCUAGAGUACGGUAGAGGGGGAUGGAAUUCCGCGUGUAGCAGUGAAAUGCGUAGAUAUGCGGAGGAACACCGAUGGCGAAGGCAAUCCCCUGGACCUGUACUGACGCUCAUGCACGAAAGCGUGGGGAGCAAACAGGAUUAGAAACCCCGGUAGUCC
RNAcentral lists this ribosomal RNA (450 nucleotides) under uncultured bacterium. RNAcentral describes it as "partial 16S ribosomal RNA". It matches the Rfam family "Bacterial small subunit ribosomal RNA", at positions 354 to 796 of the family's 1533-position model. The record is from RNAcentral.